Molecule: long non-coding RNA, 2460 nt
Organism: Sapajus apella (tufted capuchin)
Lineage: Eukaryota; Metazoa; Chordata; Mammalia; Primates; Cebidae
Exons: 2
Source: RefSeq, a predicted model, not a curated record
UCUGCCCACCUCGGUCUCCCAAAGUGCUGGGAUUACAGGUGUGAGCCACCAUGCCCAGCCAGGGAAGAGUUCUUGAAGGAGACAAUACUUAGCUUGAAUCCUGAAGGAUGAACUUGGAGAAAAGAGGGGAAAGGCCAUUCCAGAUGCAGGGAGGUGCACAUAAAAAGGCCCCUGAACAGCACAGCAUGUGCAGAGAUCAAGAGGCGGCUGGAGAAGGCUGGCAAGUAAAGCAAGAGGAUGUGCGUGGGCACGAAGAUAAAUAUUCAAGCUGACGAUUCAAGUCCUGUUGAUGAUAAGGACUUCUAUGCAGAAAUGGUCAGCAGAUUAUCUUUUCACACAAAGGACAAACUAUUGAGCAUGAAGAACUCCAUGCUUCAGGACAGCUACAGUGAAGCUAUCCACAUCAUCAUGUGCAAGUGGUACUUUGCACUGGAUUUAUUAACUCAGCAAAAGUCUAUGCAUCUUCUAUUAACUAGCUAUAAAUGAGCUUUAAUAAACAUAUGCAAUAAAAAUCUUGAUUAUUGCAUAUGUUAUACAUUUAUUAAGCUCUUUUAUAAACUACAAACGUAAAAUUUCAUACUAUUGUAUAAAUGCUGAAUUUGGGUUUAGUUUUCAUCCAAGAAUAAUGCCCCUCAUAUAUUUUAAAAAAUAGAUCAUAGUAAAUAGCAUUGAACACUACUUCUUUUUAUUUAGUGACACAAAUAAAAAUAACUUUGAAAGAAGCUGAAAGUUUAAGAAUGUUAUUAGUUUAUCAUUGCUAGUUUAAACACUGGAAGAUUAAAUCAAUACAUCUGAAUGAUUUGUCUAUAACAAUGUAAUUAAAUACUCCAUUAGUUGCAGUUGAAGCGCUCAGUAUUUAUGGAUGGAGAAAACUAUAACGUUAUCACUUUUAUUUCUCUUUCCAUAUGAAUGAUCCUAUAAGUGCCCUUUGACUAACUGAUUGACAGUGUAAAAAUCACUUUAUCUCUCUGCAUUCAUUUUCUCAUCUGUUAAAUUAGAUGAAGGAUACUUUCUUCCUCCUGGGUUUGUAAGGGUUAAAUGAGAUAAUUCAUGAAAACAGCUUAACUCAGAAUCUGGUCUAUCAAAAGCACUAAAUAACCGACAGCGAUUUUUAAGACAGUUAACACAAAAAAACUUGGAACAAAUUAAUGAGUCAGUAAUCUCAUUGAAAAUUUAAAAAAUUAUAAAUCUCUACCCCAGCAAUAUGACUUGAAGAUUAACUCUCUGAGAUUUACAUUUUUGAAAAACAUAGUUUAGGCAAGAGGCAAUUAAUUCUAAGAAUGCAACAAUGUUGAAGGGAGGAGAUUUCUAACUUUCCAUCACUGAUUUGACCAAAGUCAUAGGAUCAUGUCCCAGUGUUGGAUAUUAACCCAUAGCUUUGAUAACAGAAUUCUAAAAACACAUUUCUCUUCUUGGUCUAGAACACCUCAAACAGCAUACUUUCUUUAGAAUGUACCAUUUUUUCAAUGACCCAAUGUUGAGCCAUUUUACUGAACAUAGCUUAUUGUAGAUUAGUUAACUCUAUCGCUAGCCACUCUUUAAACUUUCCAAACUUUAAGCAUUUUUUUAAAAUUUGUGCUUGAGUAUUGCUUUGAGCCAAGCAAAUUAAACCUUUGCAGCUUCAAAAGGAACAGCUAAGUGUUGAUAAUAUUAACUGCAUAAUUUCAGAGUCAAUUUUAUGUUGUACUUGCCAAAGAUUUUCAACCAAGAAAUUAAACAGUAAUUAGAAUUUAUCUUCCAAUUGCAAUCUAAAAGUGAUCAUUCUUUAAAUGUGCUAGAUUGUAUCUCACAGGUUUUUAUUACGGAAAUUCUCACAUUACAAAACUAUCAUUUUAAUAGGUGUACUUGGUACAUUAUGCAUUGGGCACAGAAAUUAUUUAUUUAGAGAGAACUGCAUUAAUACUAAAAUCAUUUAUAUGCUAAGUAAUUAUUACUCAAAAGAUUUUAUUUGCAAUGAAUUAUUUUUUUAAUAUGGGAAACCAAGAGAAAUGUAUAGUGUAAUAAAUUUCUAGUUAAAGUACAUAGAAAUUUCUAAGAAAAAGUAGGCUGAUUUUCAGAAAUAGGGUCAUAGAAGUGCUUCUCCAUAAUGUACUAGUAAAUGUAGAUUAAUGCCUUAUUUUGAAUCACUUCAAAAAUAGUAUAAGAGUACUUGUUCAAUGAGGUAUUAUUAAGACUAGGAGAACACUCUUCUGUGUAUAAUAUACAGCUAUGUUUAACUUGAAAUAUCAGUUUGGCAAGGUAAAUGAAGAAUACAUGGCAAAAGCAAUUUUUAAUCUACUCACCUAUUAUAUUUGGGAGAAUUGUUGGGAGAACUAAGUGAUUCGUUAGAAAAAGACACUGUGAACAAUUGCACCUAAAACAACUGGUCUUUGUUGCCAAAGAACUGUGUUGUAAAUUAAAUGGCCUAAAAUAGUAAGGUAUAAGCUUGCUCCAUAUCUUACUAAAAUUUGUACAAAUGAA